RNAcentral lists this ribosomal RNA (467 nucleotides) under uncultured bacterium. RNAcentral's name for it is "partial 16S ribosomal RNA". It matches the Rfam family "Bacterial small subunit ribosomal RNA", at positions 28 to 507 of the family's 1533-position model. The record is from RNAcentral.
GAUGAACGCUGACAGAAUGCUUAACACAUGCAAGUCAACUUGAAUUUGGGUUUUUAACUUAGGUUUGGGUGGCGGACGGGUGAGUAACGCGUAAAGAACUUGCCUCACAGCUAGGGACAACAUUUGGAAACGAAUGCUAAUACCUAAUAUUAUGAUAAUAGGGUAUCCUAUAAUUAUGAAAGCUAUAAGCGCUGUGAGAGAGCUUUGCGUCCCAUUAGCUAGUUGGAGAGGUAACGGCUCACCAAGGCGAUGAUGGGUAGCCGGCCUGAGAGGGUGAUCGGCCACAAGGGGACUGAGACACGGCCCUUACGCCUACGGGAGGCAGCAGUGGGGAAUAUUGGGCAAUGGACCGAGAGUCUGAUCCAGCAAUUCUGUGUGCACGAUGAAGUUUUUCGGAAUGUAAAGUGCUUUCAGUUGGGAAGAAACAAAUGACGGUACCAACAGAAGAAGUGACGGCUAAAUACGUG